This 468-nucleotide ribosomal RNA is filed under the name uncultured bacterium. Its description in RNAcentral is "partial 16S ribosomal RNA". It matches the Rfam family "Bacterial small subunit ribosomal RNA", at positions 28 to 507 of the family's 1533-position model. The record is from RNAcentral.
GACGAACGCUGGCGGCGUGCUUAACACAUGCAAGUCGAACGGGAAGGCCCUGCUUUUGUGGGGUGCUCGAGUGGCGAACGGGUGAGUAACACGUGAGUAACCUGCCCUUGACUUUGGGAUAACUUCAGGAAACUGGGGCUAAUACCGGAUAGGAGCUCCUGCUGCAUGGUGGGGGUUGGAAAGUUUCGGCGGUUGGGGAUGGACUCGCGGCUUAUCAGCUUGUUAGUGGGGUAGUGGCUUACCAAGGCUUUGACGGGUAGCCGGCCUGAGAGGGUGACCGGCCACAUUGGGACUGAGAUACGGCCCAGACUCCUACGGGAGGCAGCAGUGGGGAAUAUUGCACAAUGGGCGGAAGCCUGAUGCAGCAACGCCGCGGGCGGGAUGACGGCCUUCGGGUUGUAAACCGCUUUCGCCUGUGACGAAGCGUGAGUGACGGUAAUGGGUAAAGAAGCACCGGCUAACUACGUG